Molecule: ribosomal RNA, 305 nt
Filed under: uncultured bacterium
Lineage: Bacteria
Description: bacterial SSU rRNA
Rfam family: Bacterial small subunit ribosomal RNA
Source: RNAcentral
GGCUCAGAACGAACGCUGGCGGCGUGCUUACACAUGCAAGUCGAACGAACCUUCGGGUUAGUGGCGGACGGGUGAGUAACGCGUGAGAAUCUGCCCUCAGGAGGGGGAUAACGGUUGGAAACGACCGCUAAUACCCCAUAUGCCGAGAGGUGAAAAGAAAUUCGCCUGAGGAUGAGCUCGCGUCUGAUUAGCUAGUUGGUGUGGUAAUGGCGCACCAAGGCUUCGAUCAGUAGCUGGUCUGAGAGGAUGAUCAGCCACACUGGGACUGAGACACGGCCCAGACUCCUACGGGAGGCAGCAGUGGG